UACGGGGGGGCAAGCGUUGUUCGGAAUUACUGGGCGUAAAGGGCUCGUAGGUGGCCAACUAAGUCAGACGUGAAAUCCCUCAGCUUAACUGGGGAACUGCGUCUGAUACUGGAUGGCUUGAGUUUGGGAGAGGGAUGCGGAAUUCCAGGUGUAGCGGUGAAAUGCGUAGAUAUCUGGAGGAACACCGGUGGCGAAGGCGGCGUCCUGGACCAACACUGACACUGAAAAGCGAAAGCCAGGGGAGCAAACGGG
This 252-nucleotide ribosomal RNA is filed under the name uncultured bacterium. Its description in RNAcentral is "partial 16S ribosomal RNA". It matches the Rfam family "Bacterial small subunit ribosomal RNA", at positions 524 to 776 of the family's 1533-position model. The record is from RNAcentral.